UACGGAGGGUGCGAGCGUUGUUCGGAAUCAUUGGGCGUAAAGCGCGCGCAGGCGGCCAGGGAAGUCUAGGGGUGAAAUGCCGGGGCUCAACUCCGUGCCCGCCCCAGAUACUCUUUGGCUGGAGACAGGUAGAGGCGAGCGGAAUUCCGGGUGUAGCGGUGGAAUGCGUAGAGAUCCGGAAGAACACCAGAGGCGAAGGCGGCUCGCUGGGCCUGAUCUGACGCUGAGGCGCGAAAGCGUGGGGAGCGAACAGG
RNAcentral lists this ribosomal RNA (254 nucleotides) under uncultured bacterium. RNAcentral's name for it is "partial 16S ribosomal RNA". It matches the Rfam family "Bacterial small subunit ribosomal RNA", at positions 524 to 776 of the family's 1533-position model. The record is from RNAcentral.